AGUGAACGCUGGCGGUAGGCCUAACACAUGCAAGUCGAACGGCAGCACAGUAAGAGCUUGCCCUUACGGGUGGCGAGUGGCGGACGGGUGAGGAAUACAUCGGAAUCUACUUUUUCGGGGGGGAUAACGUAGGGAAACUUACGCUAAUACCGCAUACGACCUACGGGUGAAAGCAGGGGAUCUUCGGACCUUGCGCGAUUGAAAGAGCCGAUGUCGGAUUAGCUAGUUGGGGGGGUAAAGGCACACCAAGGCGACGAUCCGUAGCCGGUCUGAGAGGAUGAUCAGCCACACUGGAACUGAGACACGGUCCAGACUCCUACGGGAGGCAGCAGUGGGGAAUAUUGGACAAUGGGCGCAAGCCUGAUCCAGCCAUACCGCGUGGGUGAAGAAGGCCUUCGGGUUGUAAAGCCCUUUUGUUGGGAAAGAAAAGCAGCAGGUUAAUACCUCGCUGUUCUGACGGUACCCAAAGAAUAAGCACCGGCUAACUUCGUG
Molecule: ribosomal RNA, 492 nt
Filed under: uncultured bacterium
Lineage: Bacteria
Description: partial 16S ribosomal RNA
Rfam family: Bacterial small subunit ribosomal RNA
Source: RNAcentral